GCUCCCAGUCUGAUGGGGGAAUAUUGGCUCUGUCCUCAGGAGUCCGGUCUAAGGAGGGUGUCUCAGCCCCACUCCUGAGGGUAAGGAUUCCAUGGCCACAGUCUGGACAGUGGGCCAGUCACGCUUGACAGUGGGCAUGUUGCCAGCAGGACCCUUUGGGAUGUGUCUGAGCCUGGAGAUGAGCCCACCAGCCCCAGCACUGACCUCCAAGCCAAGCAUGUCCCUGCCUUUGCUGUGGUCUCCAGUGCCAUGAACUCAGCCGCUGUCCUGGGCACCAGCCCAUCUUCCCCGACCUUCACCUUCACCCUCGGAUGGCAUUACUCGCGGGACUGCAGCAGCAUCAAGGCUGGCCGCCGCUCCUCCUACCUGCUGGCCAUCAGCACGGAGCGCUCCAAGUCCUGCGAUGAUGGACUCAACACCUUC
This 423-nucleotide long non-coding RNA is filed under the name Homo sapiens (human). RNAcentral's name for it is "novel transcript". The record is from RNAcentral. Lineage: Eukaryota; Metazoa; Chordata; Mammalia; Primates; Hominidae.